CUCUCUUCAAAAAAAGGCUAUUUUCCAAAUAUACAUUCUUUUUUUUUUUUUUUUUUUUUUUUAAGUAGGCUCCAUGCCCAGAGUGGAGUCCAACAUGGGGCUUGAACUCAAGACCUGAGCUGAGAUCAAGAGAUCAAGAUCAUUUAACCAACUGAGCCACUCACAUGCACCCAAAUAUAUAUCCUUAAUCAAUACAUUUUAUAAUGAUAAUUUUAUAGUAACCAUGAUACCAGAAAUUACUGAAUUAAAUUAUUUAUUUUAAGGCUUUACAAUCUAUUUUUCAAGCUAACUGGCUAAAUAUUAACAUUUACCUACAAUGUAUGGAUUCAUUUUGCACACACUAUUUUCUAAAUUUUCUAAUCAAAUUCCAUUCAUUCAGGACUGGUUCUUCUUCAGAUUGUCUCAUCCAUCUUUAUUGACACUCUUCAACAAUGACAUCCUCAUUCAAGAUAAGAUCACUACAGUUGUGGGAAUAAAAGGUACAGCAUAGAGAAUAGUAGUCAGUGGUAUUGUACCAGUGAUGUAUGGGGACACGUGGGAGCUCUACUUGUGGUGAGCAUGGCAUAAUGUAUAGAAUUGUUGAAUAGCUAGCUGUAUACCUGAGACUAAUGUAACCUUGGGUGUCAACCACACUUGAAAAAAAAAAAAAAGUCAACCAGCAGGUGAACUCCCCCAUCUCCAGUAACUUCCCACGGGCUGUUUCAAUUCAGUUUUAAAUUAGGAUAUGCUGGGACGCCUGGGUGGCUCAGUUGGUUAAGCAGCUGCCUUCAGCUCAGGUCAUCAUCCCAGCAUCAUGGGAUCGAGUCCCACAUCGGGCUCCUUGCUCCGCAGGGAGCCUGCUUCUCCCUCUGACUCUGCCUGCCACUCUGUCUGCCUGUGCUUGCUCUCGCUCGCUCUCUCUCUGACAAAUAAAUAAAUAAAAUCUUUAAAUUAGGAUAUAUUGAUGCCUGGACUAAACAAUUGCAUUGGCUUUUCUGUUUUUACUAAAUUUGGUCACUUUAAUACCUUUUAGGUAUGCUGCUUGCUACUUUGAAGUCACAUUCUUUUCUCUGCCAUGCCCCAUACCAAUCUAACCAAAACACCUGCCACAGGAUUUUCCAUUUAGAACAGUGAAAAUGGCUUUACCUUCUCCAUAAGACCAUGGAAACUCAGAAUCAUU
RNAcentral lists this long non-coding RNA (1159 nucleotides) under Mustela putorius furo (domestic ferret). RNAcentral's name for it is "lncRNA (ENSMPUG00000024326.1)". The record is from RNAcentral. Lineage: Eukaryota; Metazoa; Chordata; Mammalia; Carnivora; Mustelidae.